AGAACGAACGCUGGCGGCAUGCCUAACACAUGCAAGUCGAACGAGACCUUCGGGUCUAGUGGCGCACGGGUGCGUAACGCGUGGGAAUCUGCCCAUUGGUUCGGAAUAACAGUUAGAAAUGACUGCUAAUACCGGAUGACGACGUAAGUCCAAAGAUUUAUCGCCGAGGGAUGAGCCCGCGUAGGAUUAGCUAGUUGGUGAGGUAAUGGCUCACCAAGGCGACGAUCCUUAGCUGGUCUGAGAGGAUGAUCAGCCACACUGGGACUGAGACACGGCCCAGACUCCUACGGGAGGCAGCAGUGGGGAAUAUUGGACAAUGGGCGAAAGCCUGAUCCAGCAAUGCCGCGUGAGUGAUGAAGGCCUUAGGGUUGUAAAGCUCUUUUACCAGGGAUGAUAAUGACAGUACCUGGAGAAUAAGCUCCGGCUAACUCCGCGCCAGCAGCCGCGGUAA
RNAcentral lists this ribosomal RNA (451 nucleotides) under uncultured bacterium. Its description in RNAcentral is "SSU rRNA". It matches the Rfam family "Bacterial small subunit ribosomal RNA", at positions 26 to 523 of the family's 1533-position model. The record is from RNAcentral.